Spinacia oleracea (spinach) is the source of this 1189-nucleotide long non-coding RNA. RefSeq lists it as uncharacterized. The transcript has 4 exons. The record is from RefSeq and is a predicted model, not a curated record. Lineage: Eukaryota; Viridiplantae; Streptophyta; Magnoliopsida; Caryophyllales; Amaranthaceae.
GUAGAAAAAACCCCUGUUGCAACCCCCUUGUUGCAGCGUACAUGUAAUAAUACGCUUCAACAACCAGUAGGUCAACGCGGGUCAAACUUUAUAAAGGGUUGUUGCAGCGUACAAAUUAAUUGCCCGCAGCAAGAGAGUUUUUUGCAGCGUACAAAGUAAAAGCCCCCUGCAAUAGCCCAUUUAUUUUGCAGCGUACAGAUAAAAGCCCCCUGCAAUAAAAAAAUUUCGCUGCAAAGCUAAUUAAGAAAAACAUUUCAUCUCAAACCUAAGGACCAUUUCCACGCUCAGUACUCCCUCUUCUUCCCUCAGCUUUCCCUGCGUACUCUCUCACCUCCUCAUUCUUCUUCUUCUUCAUCUGCUCUCUUUCUCUCUCUAAUUCGUGGUUUUUUUGGGUUUUUUGCAAGUAAUUGUUGAAAUUGGGUGACAAUUCGUCUUGGUUUUUGUGAAAAUUUGCUCGACUCCUUAUCUCCAAGCAUCUGGCCUUCGACCUCAGCCUUCGAACUCAGCCGCCGUCGAACUCAGCCGUCGAACUCAGCAACUCAGGCGUUGCUCGGCCCUGCGUCGCUGUCUUCGCCGAUGGGUUGUUUUUCCUGGGAAAAUAUUCAUUCAAUUGAGAAACAAACAUUGUGUUCCUUUUUCAAUGGGAAGGUGGAAAAUCGGACUCCGGAUGUCUACAAGGAGAUACGGACUUGGAUUAUGAAGAGGUUUCAUGCCAAUCCAAGCACAAACAUUGAACUGAAAGAUCUGUCGGAGCUGUCUAUUGGGGAUAUAGAUGCAAGAUGUUGACAAGGCAGAGCAAAUAGACUCUUUAAUUGAAAAGUUUUAUCAGUUACAACAUAAGCAAUCCUCUGUACUAUUAGUUCCAAGAGCCAACGUGUCAACAGCGGCAGUGCCUUCAGGCCUAUUUCCGGAGUCGAUCACAGAAGAGUUGGUAGAACAAGAGGGACCUGCAGUUGAGUAUCAUUGCAACUCUUCUUCUGUUGAUUGUUCUUGCAGUUGAGCAGGUGAUGGGAAGGUCUUCACCAAAUGACAAGCUACAGGCCUAUAAAAGGACAGUCUGCUGGACCAGCGUAGGAGAAGUGCAGACAUCGAGGCUGAUUUUUCGAUGAAAUUGGCUGAUAUGUUAAAAUAGUUCAAUGAAUGCUCUAGUUCUUUGAGUAGGCACAAAGAGAUGGACAGAGAGCUUGAA